GAUGAACGCUAGCUACAGGCUUAACACAUGCAAGUCGAGGGGAAACGACAUCGAAAGCUUGCUUUUGAUGGGCGUCGACCGGCGCACGGGUGAGUAACGCGUAUCCAACCUGCCCACCACUUGGGGAUAACCUUGCGAAAGUAAGACUAAUACCCAAUGAUAUCCCACGAAGACAUCUGAAUGGGAUUAAAGAUUUAUCGGUGAUGGAUGGGGAUGCGUCUGAUUAGCUUGUUGGCGGGGUAACGGCCCACCAAGGCAACGAUCAGUAGGGGUUCUGAGAGGAAGGUCCCCCACAUUGGAACUGAGACACGGUCCAAACUCCUACGGGAGGCAGCAGUGAGGAAUAUUGGUCAAUGGGCGAGAGCCUGGACCAGCCAAGUAGCGUGCAGGAAGACGGCCCUAUGGGUUGCAAACUGCUUUUAUAAGGGAAUAAAGUGGGUCACGUGUGACUUUUUGCAUGUACCUUAUGAAUAAGGACCGGCUAAUUCCGU
Molecule: ribosomal RNA, 491 nt
Filed under: uncultured bacterium
Lineage: Bacteria
Description: partial 16S ribosomal RNA
Rfam family: Bacterial small subunit ribosomal RNA
Source: RNAcentral